UUGGUUCUUCUUGCUGCUGGGAGGAGCUGGCGAUUCCAGCUCUAUGGUGGUAGUUUGAAGAGUGCCUGAGGGUUGUCUGUAGGCCAACAACACCCCGAGAAAGAAGCGGGUGUUUUUCCUUGAGAUCCCGGCACUGGCGCUUGCCUUCCUUGCUCGUGUCCUUCUGAAAGAGGACUUUUCUCCUUCCGGCCCAGCCUGCUGCGGCGUGUCUGCCCUUUCCUUAGAGCACUGGCUUUGCUAACUGAUGAAGCCGGGGGCCCUCUUUCCGGAUUAGGUUUAUAAAGCACCUGGGAAGGCCCGCCCAGGCUGGAGUGUCUGCUUCGCCUCUGGGUGUGCACACCUGCUGUCUCACUCUCCUGACAGCCACAAAAAAGCGUGGAGGGGACCCCAUUGGGGGUCCCCAGGCCGGCUGUACAGGCUGGGACCACGGUUUGGUGGUGGGGCUCUGGGGGGCCCAGCAGUUUUGAGAUGUGGAGCUGCGGUCCCCAUCCCUCCUCGAGGCACCAGUAUGUGCUGUCCUUCCCAUAAGAGGAAGAAGUAGGAACGAAAGAGUGGCUUUUUAGCCCUGAAAAGAGAAGGUUAAACCAGUGGUCAAGUCCAAGUGAGGUGGCCCUGGAUCUGUAGGAGUUGUGGGGUGACCGCCCGCCUCCUGCUGUUAGACCCGUCAGAACUACCUUCUGCGUCCUUGGGCCCCUGCUAGAGGACGAGUGAGUAACUCCUGCUUUCCCUUUCCUCCUGGCUGCCCAGCCCACCCCUUCUCUCCGCCUCCCUACUUCAUACAGGACCACGUCCGUUUCCUGUCGGCGCAUCCUGUGUCACUCACCAGAUGAGCAUGUUGUUUCUUGUGUCUCUCACCAUGUGGACUGGCUGCGGCAUGCUCCUUUAAAGCACCGCUGGUUUAGCUCCAGCCUCCCCCGGCUUUAGAUGAGAUCCAUUCUCCCGGCCAGGGCAUGCUUGCUCAGCGGCACAGGGCUUGUGCUCCCCGGAGGUGCCGCCAGCCCAGCGCUUGGUUUCUGGCUCGGCUCUCACUGUCUGGAAAUUCUUGGUUUUUGCAUCAGGGGCCCCGCAGUUUCAUUUUGCACUGCUCCUGCUCAGAGUCACUUGCGGGAAGUGAGAAUAACAGGGUUGAGACCAAAGCCCUGCUGUGUAAAUAUGCACCCCUCCCCCACCGCCAGAGAUUGGCGCUCUGUGUGCACGCAGGCCCCUUCUGCUCUUCCUCUUGACGCUGUCAAGGGCUCAGCUUGUCACCUGUGCUUCCCGUCCAUGGUUCUUCAGAAGGUCUGACCCCUGCCUUGACCACUCCAUUACUAUUUGUUCAUUUGGAUCAGCAGAACUGAUAGAUUCAAAUUAGUGGAUAGUAUAAGUAAUAGGUAAUUUGAUAUUUGAAAAAAAAAUCAUUUCAUUUUCAAGUACAGUACAAAUGUUUACUCAUAAUUUUUGUAAGUAAUCCCUAGAAUUCUAAAGACAUUGCGACCUGGGAAUAGCUUCUGUGGCCAGUACCUGAAUCCCAAUCAAUGUCCCUUGAAUAGCUGAGAGGUAUCUCACCUGUGGUUUGAGCAUCACAGAUUCAAACAGAGUCUGGCAGGGGCCUGGGACAUCACAGAGUCCGCCUCUUCACAGCUGAGAAAGCCAGAGCCUGAUGUCCCUCUGACUUCAAGCGUUUCUGUCCCUCGGCCACACCCAUAUGCCACUCACAUUGCUUAAAAUUCUCCUUAAAUCGGCUUUGAACCAAAAAUUUUAGCUGUGCCUCAUUCCAAGGAAUCAUAUUGUGAAAUCGUAGAUGUCAUGGGCCAUUUUCCCCCAAUAAACAAAAAGAAAAUCUGCAUAAUCAUAUAAUAAAACUUGUUCAUAUGUAUAUAUACGCAAACGUCUAAAAAUCACACAUGCACCCGCUCUGAGAUGACUGUGUUGAGCUGUGGGCUGAAGCCACGUGCAGUCACACGUCUACUAUAUGGACAGCCUAGACUAGAACUGCCUUAGGAAGGAACCCUGGACGUGACUUCCAAACAUGUUGUUCUUUUGUAUCCCGGUUUCACUCCGACUGUUUUCCCACUCUGGGAUGUUUUGUCUCUUUUCCUCACACCCAAAUCCUGCUCAUCCUAUUAGGCCCCACGCAUUAAACCCACAUUGUUCUAUUGGUCUCCUCUUCUCCUUCCUCCUGCUAGACUAAUGGUCUCUCUACCUCUUCCUAACGCCUGUGAUAUUAUUGUUUUGAUGCUAAAUCGUGUACUGCCCUUCUAAGAAGUUUUGUUUUUAAUCUGUUUUCAUUUUCUACUGCGGUAUCAUUGACAUAUAACAUUAUAUUAGUUUCGGGUGUACCACAUGAUUCAAUAUCUGUAAACAUUGUGAAAUGCUCACCGCAGUAAGUCUAGUUGAUAUCUGUCCUCAUCAUGCAUAGCUACACAUUUUUUUUCUUGUGAUGAGGACUUAGAGAGAUGUUUGACUGUGCACAGGCUCCUUAAGGAUAAAGACUGUCUUGUGUGUCCCAGGCAUUUCACACAAUGCCCCACUUAAUGAACACCUGUUAAAUAUUAAUAGAUUUCUGACACAAAAAUGUUUUUGAUUGAACUAU
Molecule: long non-coding RNA, 2572 nt
Organism: Myotis davidii
Lineage: Eukaryota; Metazoa; Chordata; Mammalia; Chiroptera; Vespertilionidae
Exons: 2
Source: RefSeq, a predicted model, not a curated record